RNAcentral lists this long non-coding RNA (744 nucleotides) under Corvus moneduloides (New Caledonian crow). RNAcentral describes it as "lncRNA (ENSCMUG00000019162.1)". The record is from RNAcentral. Lineage: Eukaryota; Metazoa; Chordata; Aves; Passeriformes; Corvidae.
CGGCGGAGCGGGCUGCGCUCCCCGCGGCUGCGGCGGGGCUUCACCCCGCUUCGUGCGGCCCCAGCGCCCGCCCCAGGGGCCGCGCCCGGCACCUCCUCGGCGGGGCUGCUGUCCCCGGGACGCCGUGACGGCUGUGCGCUCCCCGCCCUUCUCACCGCCCCUCUCCCCUUUCCUCCUCCUCCUCUUCCUCCUCCUCCUUCGGGAGCCUUGCCUCCCCUGCACACCUGCCUUGCCAUUUGUCGGCGGCUUUGCUAGGAGGGAAGAAUUUUCCCUCGGUCCCUUACAGCAUCCCUCCCCGGCACACACACACACACACACACACACACAUACACGCACGCUCACACAGCCGGACGGGCAGAGGCACCGCGCUGCCCGUGCCUCGCUGGCCGCCGCCUCUCCGCACCUCGGCCCCGCGCUCCUCGCCGCCGCGGGGCGUCCUCCGCCUGCUGCAGCGCCGCCGGGCCCGGCAGCCGCCGAAGGGGGGUGGCGGCGGCGGCUCCCGCUGCUCCGCGGCCCCGCACCGGCAGCGAUCUGCAGCCUUCCAAGAUGAGCUGGUAAAGUUUUUUUCUUUUAAUGUAUGUUAACAGAGACUUUCUGGUUAAUUAACUGCAAAUCCUUGUGCAAGCUUAGAAGGACUGGAACUUUGUGCACGUGUCCUGCUGUCAUCCUCAUGCUCUCUGAAAUCACCGAGGAGUUUGGUGCAGAAAAACUCGAUGCUUGGCCAGAGCCCUGCAGAUUUGGUGA